This is a long non-coding RNA of Maniola jurtina (meadow brown), 119 nucleotides long. RefSeq lists it as uncharacterized. The transcript is spliced from 3 exons. The record is from RefSeq and is a predicted model, not a curated record. NCBI's taxonomy places the organism in Eukaryota, Metazoa, Arthropoda, Insecta, Lepidoptera, Nymphalidae.
AUCUCUUACAUUGGAAUUUAUAGUCAAGAUAGGGGCUUCUUUAGUGGACCAUUCAGACGACAUGUGUCAUCUACAACUUUAUGUAUUGCAUAAAGAUUGAGACACAAAUGAUGCAUUCU